Long non-coding RNA from Lingula anatina, 242 nucleotides. Lineage: Eukaryota; Metazoa; Brachiopoda; Lingulata; Lingulida; Lingulidae. The record is from RefSeq and is a predicted model, not a curated record.
GUCUGAUGGAAGCGAUGGAAAAACGUUGCGAGGAAGGAAAGCCAUUUAAUAUACAUAGUGAAUUCCAAGGCCUCACCAUGGAAGUCAUCGGCUCGUGUGGUUUUGGUCUCGAGCUGAACUCAGUGCGAGAUAAAACGUCACCAUUUCUGGCAGCAUGUCGUAAAGUGUUCUCCGGGUCACUGGUGAGGAUGGGGCCCUUCUUUAUUUCCGGGAUUUUUCCAUCGAUGACAGGCCUAGCAAAG